This 879-nucleotide ribosomal RNA is filed under the name Triticum aestivum (bread wheat). RNAcentral's name for it is "partial small subunit ribosomal RNA". The record is from RNAcentral. Lineage: Eukaryota; Viridiplantae; Streptophyta; Magnoliopsida; Poales; Poaceae.
AUGUUGAAAUGUAAGUUCUUCGAGCAGAAUCGUGGGAAACUACUGCAACAAUUGGUGUCUCAGAGAGCUGAUAUUGCAGAAAAAAUGAUCAUAACCUUGGAAGGGCUAGAGAAGGCAACAAAUAAUUUUGAUAAAUCUCGUGAGCUUGGUGGUGGAGGGCAUGGUACUGUCUAUAAGGGGAUUUUAUCAUACCUCCAUGUUGUCGCCAUCAAGAAACCAAAGAAGUUUAUAUCCAACGGAACCCUUUAUGAUCAUCUUCAUGUUGAAGGACCAAGAUCAUUGUCAUGGGACAAUAGGCUGCGGAUAGCAGUUGAAACAGCCAGAUCCCUCGCAUAUCUUCACUCCACAGCUUCGGUACCUAUCAUCCAUAGAGACAUCAAGUCUGUUAAUAUACUAUUGGAUAAUACUCUAACAUCGAAGGUAGCAGAUUUUGGAGCUUCAAGGUAUAUUUCUGUGGAGAAAUCGGGUUUAACAACAAUGGUGCAAGGUACAGUUGGAUAUUUAGAUCCUAUGUACUUCUACACCAGACGGCUUACCGAGAAAAGUGAUGUUUAUAGCAUUGGAGUCAUGCUAAUCGAGUUGUUGACAAGAAAGAAGCCAUCAUAUGUGUCUUUAGAAGGAGAUGGCCUUGUUGUACACUUUGUUUCCUUGUUUGCAAAAGGCAAUCUGUUGGAGAUACUAGAUCCACAAGUUAUGGAAGAAGGAGGAAAGGAUGUUAAUGAAGUAGCUAUACUUGCCGUUGUAAAAUGUGUAAAACUAAGAGGAGAGGAUCGUCCAACCAUGCAUCAAGUGGAGUUGACACCGGAAAACUUCCAUUCACCCAAGCAAUAUGUCAUGGAUGAUGUGGUGGUUGAUAAAUCCAAGAAGAAUAGAACUUGA